CCUACGGGUGGCAGCAGUAGGGAAUCUUUCACAAUGGGCGAAAGCCUGAUGGAGCAAAGCCGCGUGCAGGAUGAAGGCCCUCGGGUUGUAAACUGCUUUUAUAAGCGAGAAAUAUGAUGGUAACUUAUGAAUAAGGAUCGGCUAACUACGUGCCAGCAGCCGCGGUGAUACGUAGGAUCCGAGCAUUAUCCGGAGUGACCGUGUGUAAAGAGUUGUGUAGGUGGCAUAAUAAGUAGCUAGUGAAAUGUGGUGGCUCAACCAUUCAGACUAUUAGCUAAACUGUUAAGCUCGAGACCGUUAGAGGUAAGUGGAAUUUGUAGUGUAGGAGUGAAAUCCGUAGAUAUUAGAAAGAACACCAAUAGCGUAGGCAGGUUACUGGGACGGUUCUGACACUAAGGCACGAAAGCGUAGGGAGCAAACGGGAUUAGAUACCCUUGUAGUC
Molecule: ribosomal RNA, 442 nt
Filed under: uncultured bacterium
Lineage: Bacteria
Description: partial 16S ribosomal RNA
Rfam family: Bacterial small subunit ribosomal RNA
Source: RNAcentral